Neogale vison (American mink) is the source of this 137-nucleotide small nucleolar RNA. RefSeq annotates it as small nucleolar RNA SNORA70. The transcript has a single exon. Lineage: Eukaryota; Metazoa; Chordata; Mammalia; Carnivora; Mustelidae. The record is from RefSeq and is a predicted model, not a curated record.
CUGCAGCCAAUUAAGCCGCCGACUGUGCUCUUUGUCUAUGAGGGCCCAGUGUGCCAUGGCUGCAAACAGUAGCCUCCUCGGUAGUGUAUGCAACCUGUUGAUUGUAUGGGUUGCCCUAAGGGACCUUGGAGACAAUC